RNAcentral lists this ribosomal RNA (499 nucleotides) under uncultured bacterium. RNAcentral's name for it is "partial 16S ribosomal RNA". It matches the Rfam family "Bacterial small subunit ribosomal RNA", at positions 28 to 507 of the family's 1533-position model. The record is from RNAcentral.
GACGAACGCUGGCGGCGUGCUUAACACAUGCAAGUCGAACGGGCCUGUCUUCUUUUUUGGGGGUGGGUUGAGUGGCGAACGGGUGAGUAUCACGUGAGUAACCUGCCCUUCGGUCCUGGAUAACCGCUUGAAAGGGCGGCUAAUACGGGGUGGUCCGGUUGGUCCGCAUGGGCUGGUCGGGAUAGAUUCACUGUUUUUGGGGUUUCGGCGGGGGAUGGGCUCGCGGCCUAUCAGCUUGUUGGUGGGGUGAUGGCCUACCAAGGCGGUGACGGGUAGCCGGCGUGAGAGGGUGGGCGGCCACACUGGGACUGAGAUACGGCCCAGACUCCUGCGGGAGGCAGCAGUGGGGGGUAUUGCACAAUGGGCGGAAGCCUGAUGCAGCGACGUCGCGUGAGGGAUGGAGGCCUUCGGGUUGUGAACCUCUGUUUCCGGUGGUGAAGGCCCUGUCCGUGUGGUGGGGUUGACGGUAGCCGGGGAUGAAGCGCCGGCUAACUACGUG